Chrysoperla carnea is the source of this 279-nucleotide long non-coding RNA. RefSeq lists it as uncharacterized. The transcript has 3 exons. The record is from RefSeq and is a predicted model, not a curated record. Lineage: Eukaryota; Metazoa; Arthropoda; Insecta; Neuroptera; Chrysopidae.
GUUUAAUUACGUAAAUCAUACAAGAAUAAACGUUUAUACUAUUGUCUUGAUGGAAAAAAUACCAUUACUCGUAACAUGGGUAAUAUUAUUCGAGCAUAUAUAUCAAGAGACGUAGCACUGUCGUUUGUGGCGGUAAAAGCAACUCAAAACAAAAAAAUUUUCAAAGAUACAAAUUUUUUCACUUGUAUAAAAAGGAUCUGCUGUAAGACAAAAAUCCCAAAAAAAUCAAGAUAUUAUUCCUGACACCAAAUUGCAUCAAGCAUUAUCGUCAGUGCUAAA